UGGGGCCAGGCUGCAGUAGGAGAUGUGGGGCCAGGGAAUGGGGCCAGGCUGCAGGAGAUGGAGAUGUGGGGCCAGGGAAUGGGGCCAGGCUGCAGUAAGAGAUGGGGCCAGGGAAUGGGGCCAGGCUGCAGUAAGAGAUGGGGCCAGGGGAUGGGGCCAGGCUGCAGGAGAUGGAGAUGUGGGGCUGGGAUGUGGGGCUGGGCUGCAGGAGAAGGAGAUGUGGGGCCAGGGAAUGGGGCCAGGCUGCAGUAAGAGAUGGGGCCAGGGAAUGGGGCCAGGCUGCAGGAGAUGGAGAUGUGGGGCUGGGCUGCAGGAGAUGGAGAUGUGGGGCCAGGGAAUGGGACCAGGCUGCAGUAAGAGAUGUGGGGCUGGGAUGUGGGGCCGAGCUGCAGGAGAAGGAGAUGUGGGGCCAGGCUGCAGGAGAUGGAGAUGUGGGGCUGGGAUGUGGGGCUGGGCUGCAGGAGAAGGAGAUGUGGGGCUGGGUUGUGGGGCCAGGCUGCAGAAGAAGGAGAUGUGGGGCCAGGGAAUGGGGCCAGGCUGCAGGAGAUGGAGAUGUGGGGCCAGGGAAUGGGGCCAGGCUGCAGUAAGAGAUGUGGGGCCAGGCUGCAGGAGAUGGAGAUGUGGGGCUGGGAUGUGGGGCCAGGCUGCAGUAAGAGAUGUGGGGCUGGGAUGUGGGGCCGGGCUGGAGCUGGAGAGAGUUUGGGGCCGGAAUCUGGUGCCGUGCUGCAGGAGGGGAGGAUUUGGAGCUGGGUUUUAGCACUGGGCGGCGGAAGGAGAGGACGUGGGGCCGGGAUGUGGGGCCGGGCUCAGCCCCACGUCCCCCUGCCCCACAUUUCCGAUUCCCCCCCCCCCAUCCCCGCAGGUGGAGUACGUCAUCAAGUGCGACAUGUCGGCGCUGCAGCGCGUGCUGUACCGGCACAUGCAGGCCAAGGGCGUGCUGCUCACCGACGGCUCCGAGAAGGACAAGAAGGUUC
Molecule: long non-coding RNA, 974 nt
Filed under: Numida meleagris (helmeted guineafowl)
Lineage: Eukaryota; Metazoa; Chordata; Aves; Galliformes; Numididae
Description: lncRNA (ENSNMEG00000006316.1)
Source: RNAcentral